Molecule: ribosomal RNA, 851 nt
Filed under: uncultured archaeon
Lineage: Archaea
Description: bacterial SSU rRNA
Rfam family: Archaeal small subunit ribosomal RNA
Source: RNAcentral
CGGAGGCUACCGCUAUUGGAGUCCGAUUAAGACAUGCGAGUCGAGAGCUUUCGGAGCUCGGCAUACUGCUCAGUAACACGUGGGUAACCUGCCCUGUGCUGGGGGAUAACCUCGGGAAACUGAGAACAAUACCCCAUAGUCCACUACGCCUGGAACGGUGAGUGGAUGAAAGCCCCGGCGGCACAGGAUGGGCCUGCGGCGUAUCAGGUAGUAGGGGGUGUAAAGUACCCUCUAGCCUUCGACGCGUACGGGUUGUGAGAGCAAUAGCCCGGAGAUGGAUUCUGAGACACGAAUCCAGGUCCUACGGGACGCAGCAGUCGCGAAACCUUGACAAUGCGGGAAACCGUGAUCAGGGGACUCCAAGUGCCAGGAGUAAGAUCCUGUGCUUUUCUUUUCUCUUCAAAGGAUUUGGAAUAAGAGGUGGGUAAGGACGGUGCCAGCCGCCGCGGUAAUACCGGCGCCUCGAGUGGUAGUCGAUUUUAUUGGGCCUAAAACGUCCGUCGCCGGUCUGGUGCAUUCGUGGGUAAAUCAACCCGCUCAACGGGUUGAAUUCUGCGAGCACGGCCAGACUAGGGACCGGGAGAGGUGUGGGGUACGCUCGGGGUAGGGGUAAAAUCCUGUCAUCCCGAGCGGACCACCUGUUGCGAAGGCUCCACACUAGAACGGAUCCGACGGUCAGGGACGAAGCCUAGGGGCACGAACCGGAUUAGAUACCCGGGUAGUCCUAGGUGUAAACGCUGUGGACUUGGUGUUGGGAGCUCCCAGAGGGCUCUCAGUGCCGUAGCGAAGGUGAUAAGUCCACUGCCUGGGGAGUACGGUCGCAAGGCUGAAACUUAAAGGAAUUGGCGGGG